CUUUAAGUUUUUCUAAGUAUAAGAUUAUAUUGGCUAGGCGUGGUGGCUCAUGCCUAUAAUCCUAGCACUUUGGGAGGCCAAAGUGGGUGGAUCACUUCAACCCAGGAGUUUGAGACCAGCCUGGGCAACAUGGCAAAACCCCAUCUCCACAAAAAAUACAAAAAUUAGCCAGACAUAGUGGUGUGUGCCUGUAGUCCCAUCUACUCAGGAGGCUGAGGCAGGAGGAUUGCUUGAGCCUGGGAGGUUGAGGCUGGAAUGCAGUUACACCACUGCACUCCAGCCUGGAUGACACAGAGAGGGAGACCCUGUCUCAAAAAAAAAAAAAAAAAAAAAAUUAUGUCAUCUGUGAACCAGACUGAUUCGACUUCUUCCUUUCCCAUUUGGAAGCCCUUUAUUUCUGUCUCUUGCCUAAUUGCUCUGGCCAGAAUAAAACUCUUUUUAACCGUAGAGAAAACUGAGCAGCCAUAGUCUACCAAUGAGUUAGGCUUUGGAGAUGGUGUGUCCUAUGUUCUGAAUAUUUGCAUCCCUCACCAAAUCCAAAUGUUGAAAUCCUCAUCCCUAAGGCAAUGGUACUAGGCAGUCGAAGCCUUUAGGAGGUGAUUAUAUUACAAAGGUUGAACCCUCAUGAGUGAGAUUUGUGUCCUUAUAAAAUAGGCCUGAGACCCCUUACUUCCACCUUGUGAGGACACAGUGAGAAGAUUCCCUCCAUUAGGAAGGUGGCCCUCAACCAGACACCAAAUCUGCUGUUGCCUUGAUCUUGGACUUCCCAGCUUCAGAACUAGUUUCACUCUAUCUCCCAGGCUGGAGUGCAGUCACAUGAUCUCGGCUCACUGCAAGCUCCACUUCCUGAGUUCAAGCGGUUCUCCUGCCUCUGCUUCCUGAGUAGCUGGGACUACAGGCACACACCACCAUGCCCAGCUAACUUCUGCUUUUUUGUAGAAACGGGAUUUCACCAUGUUGGCCAGGCUGGUCUCGAAUGCCUGACCUCAAGUACCUGCCUCGGCCUCCCAAAGCACUGGGAUUACAGGCGGUGGAGUACAGUGGCACAAUCAUGGCUCACUGCAGGUUCCACCUCCUGGUCUCAAGCAACUCUUCUGCCUCAGCCUCCCGAGUAGCUGGGACUAUAGGCUCAGGCUGGAUGUAUACCGUCAGCUCUCCUGGAUUUGAACUUCUCAGCCUCCAUAACUGUGUGAGUCAAUUCAUUAUAAUAAACAAAUCUCUCUCUCUAUCUCUAUUUCUCUACAUCUCUGUGUCCAUACAUCCUAUUGGGUCUGUCUCUCUGGAGAACCCUGAGUAA
Molecule: long non-coding RNA, 1297 nt
Filed under: Papio anubis (olive baboon)
Lineage: Eukaryota; Metazoa; Chordata; Mammalia; Primates; Cercopithecidae
Description: lncRNA (ENSPANG00000044392.1)
Source: RNAcentral